RNAcentral lists this long non-coding RNA (819 nucleotides) under Salmo salar (Atlantic salmon). RNAcentral describes it as "lncRNA (ENSSSAG00000082493.1)". The record is from RNAcentral. Lineage: Eukaryota; Metazoa; Chordata; Actinopteri; Salmoniformes; Salmonidae.
GUUUAAAUGUUUAAACAGAGGAUACAUCUAAAACAGGAUAAAACAAGUGCAGUAUGUUCUGAGAAUGUUACUGUUUGUCCAGUGUGUGGGGGUGUUUGUCCAGUGUGUGUGUGUGUGUGUUUGUCCAGUGUGUGUGUGUGUGUGUGUGUUUGUCCAGUGUGUGUGUGUGUGUGUGUUUGUCCAGUGUGUGUGUGUGUGUGUGUGUCCAGUGUGUGUGUGUGUGUGUGUGUGUGUCCAGUGUGUGUGUGUGUGUCCAGUGUGUGUGUGUGUGUCCAGUGUGUGUGUGUGUGUCCAGUGUGUGUGUGUGUGUGUUUGUCUAGUGUGUGUGUCCAGUGUGUGUGUGUCUGUGUGUAUCCAGUGUUUGUGUGUGUGUGUGUCCAGUGUGUGUGUUUGUCCAGUGUGUGUGUCCAGUGUGUGUGUGUGUGUGUGUCCAGUGUGUGUGUGUGUGUGUGUGUGUGUUGUGUGUGAGUCCAGUGUGUGUGAGUCCAGUGUGUGUGUGUGUGUGAGUCCAGUGUGUGUGUGUUUGUCCAGUGUGUGUGUGUGUUUGUCCAGUGUGUGUGUGUGUGUGUGUGUGUGUGUGUGUGUUUGUCCAGUGUGUGUGUGUGUGUGUUUGUCCAGUGUGUGUGUGUGUGUGUGUGUGUCCAGUGUGUGUGUGUGUGUGUGUGUGUCCAGUGUGUGUGUGUGUGUGUGUCCAGUGUGUGUGUGUGUGUCCAGUGUGUGUGUGUGUGUCCAGUGUGUGUGUGUGUGUCCAGUAUGUGUGUGUGUGUGUCCAGUGUGUGUGUGUCCAGUGUGUGUGUGUGUCCAGUGUGUGUGUGUGAG